CAUACUCAGUUUUCAUUCUAAAUAUUAAAUUCCCCCUCUCUUUUACAGGAAAAUGUACAUUGAGACUUGUCGCAGUAUCAAAUGCUUGCCUCCUCUGAGAAUGUGCUUGAAACAAGAAUGACCUGGAGAAAACAGACCGUCACAAGAGAAGAAGGAGGGCUUCCUGUAGAAAGAUCAUGGGGUGCCUUGAGGUUCCGGCCUUGAAUUUCUGCCCUUUACCUCAAAGCGAUGGCCUCUUGGAGGAGCAAAGCACAAUGGACUGGUGCCUGUACAUGUAAUGCAGAAGCUCAUGAUGAUAUGGCAGACAAGACAAGGACCUUGCUGUCUAAAGCUCAGAGACCAGAUGACAGUGUCUGAAGUA
Strongylocentrotus purpuratus (purple sea urchin) is the source of this 361-nucleotide long non-coding RNA. RefSeq lists it as uncharacterized. The transcript has 3 exons. The record is from RefSeq and is a predicted model, not a curated record. NCBI's taxonomy places the organism in Eukaryota, Metazoa, Echinodermata, Echinoidea, Camarodonta, Strongylocentrotidae.